Molecule: long non-coding RNA, 1395 nt
Organism: Pogoniulus pusillus (Red-fronted tinkerbird)
Lineage: Eukaryota; Metazoa; Chordata; Aves; Piciformes; Lybiidae
Exons: 2
Source: RefSeq, a predicted model, not a curated record
GGAUUUUGCACCGUCUUCGGAAUCACUCAGGGAAAUUCUGCACUUCCAAGGAUGGCAUCAUUGGGAGAACGCUGGAGUAGCAGAGUUUUCUGACGUGCCUGUCAGCAAAUCACUUCAGCUGUGCUGUGCCAAGUUCCCCAUCCGUUAAAUGGGGAAUGAUUAUCCCCCUGCUUCCGAGGAAUGAGUGAGAAUAAUGCCCAGUAAUGACUGGAAGGGGGGAGGGGGGAGGAGGAGGACUGGAAGGUAGCCAGGGAGAUGCGCAGUGACACACGUAGUGGCUGCAGACCCGGCAGGAACACGCAGCGCUUUAAAAGCAACCCUCUGGGAAUUGGUUUCUCCUGCUGCUGCUUUGGGUUUGGGUUUUGUUUUUUUCUGUUUGGGUUGGGGUUUGAUAUUUAUUUUUUUUCUCUCCUUGAGGAAAAUCCUGGAAUAGGAUUUGAAAAGGUUUCUCUGCCUGCUUCCCUGCGUCGGGAAAUCUCAGGAUGGAUGGAAAGGAAGAGGAAGAUGUGAUGGGAGAAGGCACCUCAGGGGAGCCUGGAGUACCAGCUCCCUUCUCUCAGCCCGUCCCACCCCGCCAGGGACCCCCUCCUCGGGCCACUCGCUGCCUCCUGGAGCCACAGGGAUGCUGCACGCUGGGAAGGGCUAACUGCUCCAGGUAGCAUCACAACCUCCAGGUAGCAUCACAACCUCCACAUAGCAUCACAACCUCCACACGAUGGAUUGCUGGGGGCAUUGCUCCUUGGCUUUUGUGGUCUUUGGGACUCGGUGAAAACUUCCCAGCCAAGGAAAAAGAAAGGGAGAAAGGAUGCCUGGAGUGAAAGGACAAAACAGAAGCUUUUGCCCCAGGCAAAGCUGUUACUCACCGGUGGGUUUGGAAGCUCCGUGGAAUCACUUUGGGAUGGAUGUUGCUGUUUCUCCUUCACCUCAAUUCCAGUCUUUGAGAAGCCUUUCAGUGAAGAAGUCUCUUAUAGUGUCCAACCUAAACCACUCCUGCUGCAACCUGAGGCCGUUUCCUCUCGUCCUGCCGCUUGUUACUAGGGAGAAGAGACUGCAAAGUUUCUAUCUUCACCACAAUAUUCUUACAGCUUUGGGUUUUGGGGGGUGGAAGACAAUCAGCAGCUGGUUUAGAGGCUUUAAGUCAGUCCUUGCUGUCUCUUCAGGGCUGGCUGGAGCAUAUCCUAGCAUGAAAAGGGUUGGAAAGGACCUCUGGAAGUCAUCCAACCCAACCCCCCUUGCUCCAGCAGGGCACCCACAGCAACUUGUCCAGCAUCACAACAGCCAGGGGGUGGUUUGGGAUCUCUCCCGAGAUGGAGACUCCACAACCUCUCUGGGCAGCCUGCUCCAGGGCUCCAGCACCUUUAAAUUAAAGAAUUUCCUCCUCGUGUUCAAAUGCAA